This 609-nucleotide long non-coding RNA is filed under the name Mytilus galloprovincialis (Mediterranean mussel). The record is from RNAcentral. Lineage: Eukaryota; Metazoa; Mollusca; Bivalvia; Mytilida; Mytilidae.
AUUCUGACUGAUAGAUGUACGAAAAAAAAAACCGUAAAACAAAUUUCUCGAAAGAAUGCAACAUUUUACAUGAAAUGACGAACUAGAUAAUAAGUAAACACGUUAAAUAAGUUGNGACAUGUCAGAAGACAUGCAGCAGGAUGCUGUUGACUGUGCAACACAAGCUCUGGAGAAAUACAACAUUGAGAAAGACAUUGCCGCUUACAUCAAGAAAGAGUUUGACAAAAAAUACAACCCAACAUGGCAUUGUAUCGUUGGACGUAACUUUGGUAGCUACGUAACACACGAGACCAAGCACUUCAUCUACUUUUACUUGGGACAAGUCGCCAUCUUGCUCUUCAAAUCCGGUUAGAGAUGUAAACCAAAUUAUAAAGUACUAGUCACAGUAAUCUUUAUAUAGGACAGACGUAUAUCGCGCAUCGGGUCCAGAGGAACGAAAUUAACACUGCCAGAGUUGUAUUAACCUACGUGAUUGCCGAUUGCGGUAAUUAUUGCCUGUGAAUUUAUGAUGUGAACAAUUUAGAUGAACAUAUUGUUACUUAUUUAUUAUUGUUAUGCCUUGUUUUGUUAUAUUGCUAACGAGUUUAUAAUAAAACAUUGUUAGUAUAA